AGAGUUUGAUCAUGGCUCAGAUUGAACGCUGGCGGCAGGCCUAACACAUGCAAGUCGAGCGGUAGAGAGGUGCUUGCACCUCUUGAGAGCGGCGGACGGGUGAGUAAUACCUAGGAAUCUGCCUGGUAGUGGGGGAUAACGUUCGGAAACGGACGCUAAUACCGCAUACGUCCUACGGGAGAAAGCAGGGGACCUUCGGGCCUUGCGCUAUCAGAUGAGCCUAGGUCGGAUUAGCUAGUUGGUGAGGUAAUGGCUCACCAAGGCUACGAUCCGUAACUGGUCUGAGAGGAUGAUCAGUCACACUGGAACUGAGACACGGUCCAGACUCCUACGGGAGGCAGCAGUGGGGAAUAUUGGACAAUGGGCGAAAGCCUGAUCCAGCCACGCCGCGUGUGUGAAGAAGGUCUUCGGAUUGUAAAGCACUUUAAGUUGGGAGGAAGGGCAUUAACCUAAUACGUUAGUGCUUUGACGUUACCGACAGAAUAAGCACCGGCUAACUCUGUGCCAGCAGCCGCGGUAAUACAGAGGGUGCAAGCGUUAAUCGGAAUUACUGGGCGUAAAGCGCGCGUAGGUGGUUUGUUAAGUUGAAUGUGAAAUCCCCGGGCUCAACCUGGGAACUGCAUCCAAAACUGGCAAGCUAGAGUAUGGUAGAGGGGGGGUGGGGGAAAUUUCCUGGGUGUAGCCGGGGGAAAUGCGUAGAAUAUAGGAAGGAACACCAGGUGGGCGAAUGGCGACCAUCUGGACUGAUACUGACACUGAUGUGCGAAAGCGUGGGGAGCAAACAGGAUUAGAUACCCUGGUAGUCACGCGUAACGAUGUCACUAGCCGUUGGGAGUCUGAACUCUUAGUGGCGCAGCUAACGCAUU
This 866-nucleotide ribosomal RNA is filed under the name uncultured bacterium. RNAcentral describes it as "bacterial SSU rRNA". It matches the Rfam family "Bacterial small subunit ribosomal RNA", at positions 8 to 861 of the family's 1533-position model. The record is from RNAcentral.